GGGAAAGCUUAUUAUUUUUCUCUGUCUCUGACCAGAUUGUCAUAUCGACACCCAAGUACCCCCAAGGACCUCCAGGAUUUCUAAGCUCCUUUUGUGAGAGGAGCCUUGGAGCAGCUGCUUCCAGUCCAGUCCUCAGACUUUUCAAGUGUUCAUGUGUAAAGAAUUAUCAAGGUCUUUCUAGAGAAAGAGCAGGAGCAGACUGCUUAUCAAAGAUGCCAUGCCAGGCUCAGGGAGAGCUGUUCCCAGCCCGAGAGCAGGAAGAGCAGCUCAGGCAGCAGGUGGAAGAGCCACAGGAAAUGACCAGGACAUCAAGGCAGAGCCACAAGCAGAGCUGCCCGAAGCUCAGAGUGCCAUCAUGGCAGUGAAGAGAAAGAACAAGGAAGACAUGAGAAGAAUUCAAGAGGAGAUGAAUCUCCAUCAGCACAGGGGCGACCAACAAAACCAGGUGAGAGAAAGAAUGGCAGCCACUCCGCUCAUGAAACUUCCUCUCCAUUGCUGUUUACAGACCAUCAAGGAAGAUGUGCAGGCAGAGCUGCAGGAAUCUGAGGCUAGGAAAAAGGCAAGGAAGAAGAGGCUGGAAGAAGAAAUGAAAAUCAUCAGAGAGAAAGUUAAUCGCCUCCCUCAGGCUCUACAAA
Long non-coding RNA from Passer domesticus (house sparrow), 635 nucleotides. RefSeq lists it as uncharacterized. Lineage: Eukaryota; Metazoa; Chordata; Aves; Passeriformes; Passeridae. The transcript is spliced from 3 exons. The record is from RefSeq and is a predicted model, not a curated record.